AUUAUAUAAUUAGGAAAGCUAGUUAUUGUCAGAAUGAACUUCUGGCUACAAGAAACCAUCAAAUUGCGGGAAAACCCUAAAGCAAUUUCAACCAAGCAGACAUGGUAACAUAGUUUGUGGCACAGGUAACGACUCGUGGUAUGGUAAAAUCGAAAUUGAUUAUCUAAUGUCUGAUAAAUGGGUAAUCCGCAGCCAAGCACCUAUCACUGUAUUUACAGUGAGGUGUGCAGUUCAUCGACUAAAUGUUGGUUGGCGCAAGCUUAAGAUAUAGUCAAGCCCCUUUCGAAAGAAUGCA
Fusarium poae is the source of this 295-nucleotide non-coding RNA. NCBI's taxonomy places the organism in Eukaryota, Fungi, Ascomycota, Sordariomycetes, Hypocreales, Nectriaceae. The record is from Rfam.